Molecule: ribosomal RNA, 798 nt
Filed under: Salinibacterium sp.
Lineage: Bacteria; Bacillati; Actinomycetota; Actinomycetes; Micrococcales; Microbacteriaceae
Description: bacterial SSU rRNA
Rfam family: Bacterial small subunit ribosomal RNA
Source: RNAcentral
GGCUCAGGAUGAACGCUGGCGGCGUGCUUAACACAUGCAAGUCGAACGAUGAAAGCCGGAGCUUGCUCUGGCUGGAUUAGUGGCGAACGGGUGAGUAACACGUGAGUAACCUGCCCCAGACUCUGGGAUAAGCACUGGAAACGGUGUCUAAUACCGGAUACGAACUUCAGCCGCAUGGCUAGGAGUUGGAAAGAAUUUCGGUCUGGGAUGGACUCGCGGCCUAUCAGGUAGUUGGUGAGGUAACGGCUCACCAAGCCGACGACGGGUAGCCGGCCUGAGAGGGUGACCGGCCACACUGGGACUGAGACACGGCCCAGACUCCUACGGGAGGCAGCAGUGGGGAAUAUUGCACAAUGGGCGCAAGCCUGAUGCAGCAACGCCGCGUGAGGGACGACGGCCUUCGGGUUGUAAACCUCUUUUAGUAGGGAAGAAGCGAAAGUGACGGUACCUGCAGAAAAAGCACCGGCUAACUACGUGCCAGCAGCCGCGGUAAUACGUAGGGUGCAAGCGUUAUCCGGAAUUAUUGGGCGUAAAGAGCUCGUAGGCGGUUUGUCGCGUCUGCUGUGAAAACUGGAGGCUCAACCUCCAGCCUGCAGUGGGUACGGGCAGACUAGAGUGCGGUAGGGGAGAUUGGAAUUCCUGGUGUAGCGGUGGAAUGCGCAGAUAUCAGGAGGAACACCGAUGGCGAAGGCAGAUCUCUGGGCCGUAACUGACGCUGAGGAGCGAAAGCAUGGGGAGCGAACAGGAUUAGAUACCCUGGUAGUCCAUGCCGUAAACGUUGGGAACUAGAUGUAGGGU